RNAcentral lists this ribosomal RNA (253 nucleotides) under uncultured bacterium. RNAcentral describes it as "partial 16S ribosomal RNA". It matches the Rfam family "Bacterial small subunit ribosomal RNA", at positions 524 to 776 of the family's 1533-position model. The record is from RNAcentral.
CACGAACCGUACGAACGUUAUUCGGAAUUACUGGGCUUAAAGGGUUUGUAGGCGGCCAUGUAAGUCAGGUGUGAAAUCCCUCGGCUCAACCGAGGAACGGCGCUUGAUACUGCAUGGCUUGAGGGAGACAGGGGUAAGCGGAACUGAUGGUGGAGCGGUGAGAUGCGUUGAUAUCAUCAGGAACACCGGUGGCGAAAGCGGCUUACUGGGUCUCUUCUGACGCUGAGGAACGAAAGCUAGGGUAGCGAACGGG